CACGUAGGCGGAUAUUUAAGUCAGGGGUGAAAUCCCAGAGCUCAACUCUGGAACUGCCUUUGAUACUGGGUAUCUUGAGUAUGGAAGAGGUAAGUGGAAUUCCGAGUGUAGAGGUGAAAUCCGUAGAUAUUCGGAGGAACACCAGUGGCGAAGGCGGCUUACUGGUCCAUUACUGACGCUGAGGUGCGAAAGCGUGGGGAGCAAACA
This 207-nucleotide ribosomal RNA is filed under the name uncultured bacterium. RNAcentral describes it as "partial 16S ribosomal RNA". It matches the Rfam family "Bacterial small subunit ribosomal RNA", at positions 568 to 774 of the family's 1533-position model. The record is from RNAcentral.